RNAcentral lists this ribosomal RNA (419 nucleotides) under uncultured bacterium. RNAcentral's name for it is "bacterial SSU rRNA". It matches the Rfam family "Bacterial small subunit ribosomal RNA", at positions 355 to 787 of the family's 1533-position model. The record is from RNAcentral.
UGGGGAAUAUUGCACAAUGGGGAAACCCUGAUGCAGCGACGCCGCGUGAAGGAAGAAGUAUCUCGGUAUGUAAACUUCUAUCAGCAGGGAAGAAAAAUGACGGUACCUGACUAAGAAGCCCCGGCUGAACUACGUGCCAGCAGCCGCGGUAAUACGUAGGGGCGAAGCGUUAUCCGGAUUUACUGGGUGUAAAGGGAGCGUAGACGGAGCAGCGAGUCUGAUGUGAAAAGGCAGGGGCUCAACCCCUGCACGUGCAUUGGAAACUGUUGGUCUUGAGUACCGGAGGGGUAAGCGGAAUUCCUAGUGUAGCGGUGAAAUGCGUAGAUAUUAGGAGGAACACCAGUGGCGAAGGCGGCUUACUGGACGGUAACUGACGUUGAGGCUCGAAAAGCGUGGGGAGCAAACAGGAUUAGAUACCC